This is a long non-coding RNA of Ictalurus punctatus (channel catfish), 1639 nucleotides long. NCBI's taxonomy places the organism in Eukaryota, Metazoa, Chordata, Actinopteri, Siluriformes, Ictaluridae. The record is from Ensembl.
GUGAAUAUGUGUGUGUGCGUGUCAGCUGAUGGAGAACAUGGGGAUCUCCGGAUUUCUCUGAAAGGGGAUUUUGAAAGGGAAAUCUCUUACUUUGGUUAGAACACACCCCUCCUCUGGGCUUCCCCGUUUUAGCCACCCAGUGCUGGACAUGGUAAUAAUUGGUACACGCUCUCUCUUUUUUUUUUUCUUUUUUUUUUGACACACACACACACACACACACACACACACACACACUUGUGAGCUGAAGCAGGACUACAGUAGGUGCAGUAAUGGACUGGGGUAAAGCCUGGGCUCUGGCGCUCAGGGAAGCACUGGUGUGUGCUGUGCGUUCCAGACUCAAGGCUCUCCGUCGUCUGGUCUACAGAGAGCCUCCGAGAUUCUUCCGCCGAACCGGAGAGGAAUAGAAUGAAGUGGAAUAAAAAGGAGCAGAAUAAAAUCAAGUGGAAGAGAAUGGAACAAAAUGGAGCAGGCCAAAUUAGAAUAGAACGGGACGGAGUCGAACGGAGCAGAGUGGAAUCGGACAGAAUGGAGCGGAGAGGAAUGGAGCAGAACGGAACAGGAUGGAGCAGAACGGAGUGGGUAGAAUAGAGCGAAGCGGAAUAGAACGGAGCGGAACGGAAAAGAAUGGAGCGGAAUAGAACGGAACCGAUAGAAUGGAGCGGAGUAGAACGGAACAGAACAGGAAAAGAAUGGAGCGGAACAGAACGGAACCGGUAGAAUGGAGCGGAAUAGAACGGAACCGGUAGAAUGGAGCGGAACAGAACAGAACAGGAAAGAAUGGAGCGGAGUAGAACGGAACCGAUAGAAUGGAGCGGAGUAGAACGGAACCAGUAGAACGGAACAGAACGGAAAAGAAUGGAGCGGAGUAGAACGGAACCGGUAGAAUGGAGUGGAACAGAACAGAACGGAAAGAAUGGAGUGGAAUAGAACGGAACCGGUAGAACGGAGCAGAGUAGAACGGAACCGGUAGAACGGAGCGGAAUAGAACGGAACCGGUAGAACGGAGCGGAAUAGAACGGAACCGGUAGAACGGAGCGGAAUAGAACGGAACCGGUAGAAUGGAGCGGCAUAGAUCGGAACCGGUAGAACGGAGCGGAGUAGAACGGAACAGAAAAGAAUGGAGUGGAACGGAACAGGGCGGAAUAGAGUGGAGCAGAAUAGAACGGAACGGAGUGGAAUAGAGUGGAGCAGAAUAGAACGGAACGGAGUGGAAUAGAGUGGAGCAGAAUAGAACGGAACGGAGUGGAAUAGAGUGGUAUUUAGUGAGUAUUAGUAUUUAAUGGCUGGUAUUUGGGUUUGUCUCUGUGACUGUACAGACGUGCGCAGACUGUAAUGCUGCUGCUGCUGCUCCACAUUGCUGAAUAAAUGAGAUCCAGAGUACUGCGCUCACCUGCUGGAACGUCUCCACAGUGCUACAACAGCUUCUGUACAGAACGUUUCAAACACGUAGCGUCGACCUCAGAUCCAGCUCAUACUGAUUUCCUGCUUCUGCGUGCUCUCCUCCUCCUCCUCCUCCUCCUCCUUCUCCUCCUUCUACUUCUCCUCCUCCUUCUCCUCCUUCUCCUCCUUCUCCUCCUUCUCCACACUCACUCCCUUACUGCAGGAGUUCUCGAGUAGCCGGCUCUAAUUCAGAAUAUCA